GUGAAUACUUUAGACCCCUGGCCAAAUGACCCAUAUGAUGUUUUAUUGACCCAUUUAGUGCACCCUCUACAAGUCUUACCUUUGACUAUUUAAACACAGAUUAUGAUCCGAAUUUAUCAGAUACUAAUUAUGAACCAGCUGAUGCUUUAAUUGAGGAAAUCUUGGAAGCUCAAUACAACCCAUCCCAAGUCGCAAGUGCUGCCGAGGAGAUUUUAAACAAUCUAGGUUUGGAUGUAACAGCUCAAAAUACAGAAUACCUGAUGACCCCUGAAGAAGAGGCUGACUACACAGAGGCUCUUGAACAUGAUACGUUUCCCUCCGAAUCUUGCAUUUCUCAAUUAAACAAUAAUCCCUCUAUUCCUAAUAUACACGCAGUUAUGGUUCAAGUCCAUCAACCCCAAGAAGGUUGUGCAUGUAGGUUUACUUUUAUUUUUGUAAUUAUUUUUAAAACUUAUAAAUGUAAAAGUUAUAACUUUUAUAUAGUCGGCUAGCGAUAAUGAUGAAAUACAAAAAGCCUUUACCAAAUAUAUUCAUCAUAGAAAUCUAUGUAUAAUGUAUCUGGUUCAAGAUCUGUUUUUUCAAGGAAAAAUGAGUCGCACUAUAAACUUAAAUGCUAACUACAUUAUUCUUUUUAAAAAUCCCAGAGACAAACUUCAAAUUAACACAUUAGCCCGACAGAUGUAUCCUAGAAAUACAAAGUUUUUUUAGAAGCUUUUGAAGAUGCAACAAAAGUCCCUUAUGGAUAUAUCUUGGUAGACCUAAAAGAACAAACCCUGAAGAUUAUCGCCUACGGUCAGCUUUGUUUCAUCCUGAUUGGCCAGUUGCUUAUAUAAUGAAUAACCCCAAGACUAAACGUUUAUAACUAAUGUUGUUUCUCUUUGAGAUUUAUAAUUUCAUGGGUCGUUUGUAUCAUUAAAAGACAUGUCUGUCAAAAUAAAUACACAGUAUGCUUAGAGUUCUUGAAUAAAAACUGAAAUAGUUUUAGGGAAAUAAGCAAAGUCAUAAAACUCUCCAGUUCUAUCUUCUUUUAAAUAUAUAGCCAGCCAAUGUUUGCCAGGUUGAUUUUGAGGGUCUGUGUUGACAAUAAGCAUUGCAGGUUUUUUUUUUUUUUUUUUUUUCCUUUAGGGAGUUGGUCACUAGCUAAAACUCUGUAAACUUCCCAGUAAAAGGAUUGUUAGCCAUUAGGGAUGCCAGUUGUAAGGUAUUAAUUUUAAAUCCUCAAAAGGUGUUUUCAGCAUGCUUCUCAGUAAUCAAAGAGCACUGCUCUUUGUUGUGAUACCUCUAUAACAUUCUCAAACACUGCAUAUACUAGCAAAUUCAUUG
Polyodon spathula (Mississippi paddlefish) is the source of this 1323-nucleotide long non-coding RNA. RefSeq lists it as uncharacterized. The record is from RefSeq and is a predicted model, not a curated record. Lineage: Eukaryota; Metazoa; Chordata; Actinopteri; Acipenseriformes; Polyodontidae. The transcript is spliced from 3 exons.